Molecule: transfer RNA, 74 nt
Filed under: Bacteroidales bacterium
Lineage: Bacteria; Pseudomonadati; Bacteroidota; Bacteroidia; Bacteroidales
Description: tRNA-Ile
Rfam family: tRNA
About the family: Transfer RNA (tRNA) molecules are approximately 80 nucleotides in length. Their secondary structure includes four short double-helical elements and three loops (D, anti-codon, and T loops).
Source: RNAcentral
AGUCCCGUAGCUCAGUUGGUUAGAGCACCACACUGAUAAUGUGGGGGUCUGCGGUUCAAAUCCGCACGGGACUA